GUCAGGAGCCUGUAAUUCAGUGGUUGUCGUUUGUUUAUGUGUUACAUAUUUGUUUCUCGUUCAUUUUUUUUUUAUGUAAAUAAGGCCGUUAGUUUUCUCGUUUGAAUUGUUUUACAUUGUCUUAUCGGGGCCUUUCUUAGCUGACUAUGCGGUAUGGGCUUUGAUCGUUGUUGAAGGCCGUAUGGUGACCUAUAGUUGUUAAUGUCUG
Molecule: long non-coding RNA, 208 nt
Filed under: Mytilus galloprovincialis (Mediterranean mussel)
Lineage: Eukaryota; Metazoa; Mollusca; Bivalvia; Mytilida; Mytilidae
Source: RNAcentral